RNAcentral lists this ribosomal RNA (253 nucleotides) under uncultured bacterium. RNAcentral describes it as "partial 16S ribosomal RNA". It matches the Rfam family "Bacterial small subunit ribosomal RNA", at positions 524 to 776 of the family's 1533-position model. The record is from RNAcentral.
GACGUAGGAUGCGAGCGUUGUCCGGAAUUAUUGGGCGUAAAGCGUACGUAGGCGGUCAUCUAAGUCUGGGGUUAAAGACCAAGGCUCAACCUUGGGAGUGCCCUGGAUACUGGGUGACUGGAGGACGGCAGAGGAAAGUGGAAUUCCCAGUGUAGCGGUGAAAUGCGUAGAUAUUGGGAGGAACACCAGUGGCGAAAGCGACUUUCUGGGCCGUUCCUGACGCUGAGGUACGAAAGCCAGGGGAGAAAACGGG